UGCUUACUCGGAAGUAAGCCCCGUCGAGGUCGGUGGGGAAAGGAUCGUGCGCGCCAUCUGGGCGCAGCGGCAGCAGCAACCCUUUUCCUGUGUUGCUCAGAAAGUGAAGCCGUGCGCGCUUGCAAGGCGACUUGCUUGCUGUCAGGUGAAGUGCUGGGAGCUGCCUAACUAAAACAAGCACGCACAAAAAGAGAUCACAGCUGAAAAGGCUGGCAGCAUUCAGAUCAUUUCAGCAGGGUAAACAAGUUUUGAUGGAUGCAGUAAUGGAAGACUGAAUGGUAUAGCUUUUGUAAAGUAUGCAGGGAUUUAUAUGAUGUGCUCAUCUAUGUGCACAUCAUAUAAGAAAGAGAAGGAUGAAGAUCUUAAGGAUGUAAAAUGAAUAUUUGAAAUUGUAAAGAAAUUUUAUAAAUAAAAAUUAGAGAGAGAGAGAGAUGAAAGGAGGAUAAAGAAUAUAAAGGAGGACUGGGGAAUUUUUGCUGUAUAUUUUCAGAACCAGUAUAAACAAGUGAAUAACCUAGCAGGUCUUGAGUAAAUCCAACAGCAUAGAAGUUAAUGGGAUUUAUAACUGAUGAAGAAAUUUGAAUAUUUCUGCAAUAUGAAGAAUUUGGAAUAUUCCAUUUAAUAGAAAAAUAAAAAGAACCAGGAAAAGGGUGGAAGGGAAGUCACCGGGUAUUUAGUUGUAUGUCGAGAUUGAUAUGAAAGUUGUACAACUGGUGGGGGAGGAAGGGGGUGUGGGAUGUGUUUGUUUUUCUUUUCCGUCUCUAUAUUAAAAAUGCAAAUAAAAGGUUUGAUAUUAAAAAAAAAACCAAACAGCACAAUCCUGUUGUCUACUCAGAAAUAAGCCUCAACGGGACUUAUCCCUAAAGAAGUGGGGGUAUAUGGGGUUUUAACUGGCCCAUUGCUUGAUUUUGUGUUACCUGGCUCUGAUUUUAAUUGUGAUUGUUCUUUUUUAAUUUGUAUUACUUUUAUUUGCUUUAGAAACCGAUCUGGGACCUUUCGUUAGGGUAAAAAGCAUUUUUAAAAUAAUCCCAUAGAUUAAAAGCAAUAGGGGUUGCAUCCUAGCUCAACAAACUGGAUAGCGAGGAAACCCCAUGGGCUACAGUCAAACUUUAUUUUGAGUUGGUGAGGCCUAUCUGACAACAGCAAGAACAUCAUUUAGUGUCAUUGUCCCAGGCCUGUAGAAUCUUCUGCCAAUAGAGAUUCAGCAGGUGUCUUCUGAUUUGACUUUUAAAUACCUGCUGCCAUGCUUCUGCAAGCAAUUAAGGAUACAGUACAUCUUUCUGCAGCAAUUAGCUGGUUUAUGUUUCUGACUUUUUAAUAUGGUUUAUUGUAUGGCUUUUAUGAACCAUUGUUGCAAACCGCUCUGGCAUUUUUUAAAAUGAAUGACAGCAUAUAAUUAUUUUAUCAAUAAAUAAAUCAUUUGGGUUUGGUUAAA
This is a long non-coding RNA of Podarcis muralis (Common wall lizard), 1435 nucleotides long. RefSeq lists it as uncharacterized. The record is from RefSeq and is a predicted model, not a curated record. NCBI's taxonomy places the organism in Eukaryota, Metazoa, Chordata, Lepidosauria, Squamata, Lacertidae.